AGCGAACGCUGGCGGCAUGCUUAACACAUGCAAGUCGCACGGAUCUUUCGGGAUCAGUGGCGGACGGGUGAGUAACGCGACGGGAGCUAUCCAUGGGUGGGGGACAACUCCGGGAAACUGGAGCUAAUACCGCAUGAUACCUGAGGGUCGAAGGCGCAAGUCGCCUGUGGAGGAACCUGAGUUCGAUUGGCUAGCUGGUGGGGUAAGGGCAUACCAAGGCGAGGAUCGACAGCUGGUGUGAGAGGAUGGUCAGCCACACUGGGACUGAGACGCGGCACAGACUCCUACGGGAUGCGGCAGUGGGUAAUAUUGCACAAUGGGCGGAAUGCUGAUGCAGCAAUGCUGGGUGUGCGAAGAAAGUCUGCGGAAAGUAAUGCACUUGCGACGGGGACGAUGAUGACGGUACCCGAAGAAGAAGCCCCGGCUAACUUCGUG
RNAcentral lists this ribosomal RNA (435 nucleotides) under uncultured bacterium. RNAcentral's name for it is "partial 16S ribosomal RNA". It matches the Rfam family "Bacterial small subunit ribosomal RNA", at positions 30 to 507 of the family's 1533-position model. The record is from RNAcentral.